This is a long non-coding RNA of Myodes glareolus (Bank vole), 385 nucleotides long. RefSeq lists it as uncharacterized. NCBI's taxonomy places the organism in Eukaryota, Metazoa, Chordata, Mammalia, Rodentia, Cricetidae. The record is from RefSeq and is a predicted model, not a curated record.
CCUGGAAGUCAACCAAGCCCGCCAUGGUUCCGACUCCCACAAACCCGGACUUGACCCCGCCUACAGAUCACGUGAGCUGCUCAGUGGGCGGGGCUUGUCGCAGCGCGUGUGAGUGGUUUUCUCCCUGCAGUCGGAAUCAGCCCGGACCUCCUGCAGUCCCAGUUCUAAAGCCGAGACAGCCGGGAGCUUCGGUUCCUGCCUUUCCAGAGUUUGCAGCGUUGGGCUGGAGCUCACCGCCAAGUGCUCCCAGCCUUGCAAAAUACAGAACUUGAAAUUUAUCAGGAAAGCAUUUACGUAUUCAGGCAGCAAGUGUUUUGAGUAACUUGUGUGUCCCACAUAUGACUGGAACACCUGACAAAAAUAAAUCUCUGCUAGUGCCAUGGGA